AUGGAGUUUUGCCUUUAUUGCCUAGGCUGGAGCGCAAUGGCACGAUCUGGGCUCACGGUAACCUCCGCCUCUCAGGUUCAAGCGAUUCACCUGCCUCAGCCUCCCGAGUAGCUGGGAUUACAGGCAGGUGCCACUACGCCCGGCUAAUUUCGUAUUAACAGGGUUUCUCCAUGUUGGUCAGACUGGUCUCGUACUCACAACCUCAGGUGAUCCACCUACCUCAGCCUCCCAAAGAGCUGGGAUUACAGGCAUGAGCCACCGCACCCGGCCCAACCUGAUUUGACAUUUUACCUUCUUUGGGUUAUGUCCUCCUUCCUGGGUAGGAACUUGGACCUGCAGCCUCCCUCCUGCUAAACGGACUGAUCCUUGCCCUCACCUGACUGUUCUACCCCCACACCUAUUGCCCCUCCUGGAAGCAGAAAUGGCUUUGAUGGAAGGCAAUUGGGCCGCUGUGAGAGGACUCCACAAGGCCUUCCCGAGAUGUUCUCUGGGGUCACCUGAUUGUGGAAAAAUUGAGUUUGAGCAAAACUGGCAUGGCCGUACUGGAUGGAUCUCAGCAUGACCAGGGCAUAUUUGAGCUCAAAUCCACUGUGCCAAGAACACAUUCUGCCAAGGACCACCACCUCUUCCCACAACUGUGAGUGGGUUUAUGUCAUCACAGGAGGUGCAAAAACGUGUGGCGAGUCCCUGUUUAUACCUGGUCUUCCACAGAGCCUCACUUCAGUCUGUCCCAGAAGCUUACCGGAGUACUCUCUCAGCACAGGCACUCUCAGUACUGAAAUCUUCAUUGUUCAAACAUGCUUCAGGAAAAACAAAAAAAUGCAUUGUAUCUAGAAACCAGGGUCUGAAGCUGUGAAGGCAAAUGAAGCCAUGGAGGAUCUUUAAAAGGAUCUGGAAGCAGGUACCCAGGCCACAGUGUGAGCCGUUCUGUGCAGAGCUGCCCGAAACCCAACCCUCUGCAGAAAGGAGCCUCCGAGGUUCUGCUGCUGCUCCUUAGCCUUGGUAAAUUUCAGAUGGCUGAGCAUAAACCACCAGGGAUGCCCCAGGCCGCAUUUUACCUUUGUAUUUUUUCUUGGGGGAAAGCUUGCUUUCAAGGCCCUGUUAAAUUUCUUUAGUCCUUUCCCUGUAAUAUUGAGCUAUUAUUAAAAUAUUCCCAAACCUUGAUAAAUUUUUUAAAAUGUAAGAUGAAGGGUUUUUUUUUUUGCACUUCACCAUUAAUGAUUCUACAAAAUUGAAUUAUGGUGCAAACUGAUUUUGAACCUCCCAGACUUGAUGUACAGGCUAAUAUUCAGCGAACUCAGCAUUUCCCGAGAUCCCACUGGAAUUGAGAAGCUGCUGCUGACCGACUUUUCUGCUGCUCACCACGUCCCGGUGCCCCAUUAACAAUGGCCUGGGAGACCCAGGGGACUUCUGAAGCAUAGGGUCGCAACUAAGUAGGACUUCAAUUCAUGUAAUUGCUUUAGCCGUUGGUGGUUGAUUUAAAAUGUUAUACAAAUGGUAAAUAGUAGCCCUGAAUUCCCUCAAAUGACAUUUUUUUGAGUACUGUUCUAAGCAUAUCUCUUAUGUGUAAAUAAUGCUAAAGGUCUCAGCCUUUGAUUCUAUUAAUAAGGGAUAUACUUGUGGACAAAAAUGAAUGUGCAGUUUGUUUCAAGAUGGUGGAGGCAGCGGGAGGGAGGGUUUGGGCAGUUAAAAAUGCCAGGGAAGGCCGGAUGUGGUGGCUCACACCUGUAAUUAUGGCACUUACGGAGGUCGAAGUGAGUGAAUCAUUUGAGGUCAGGAGUUCGAGACCAGCCUGGCCAACAUGGUGAAAUCCCGUCUCUACUAAAAAUACAAAAAUUAGCUGGGUGUGGUGGCAGGUGCCUGUAAUCCCAGCUACUCAGGAGGCUGAGGCAUGAGAAUCACUUGAACCCAGGAGGCAGAGGUUGCAGUGAGCUGAAAUGGUGCCACUGCACUCCAGCCUGGGAGACAGAGCAAGAUUCUGUCAAAAAAAAAAAAAAAAAGGCCACGAAGGAAGUUUGUCAAAAAAUCCCUCACUUCCUUUCAAACUCUACUCUUGUAACUUUUGUAAGAAAAGUUCCAUCUCAUAUAAACUAGGUGUUUUGUCUUUAAACCUACCAUUAUUCCUCUUAACUUAAUAUUGAAGCAGCUGG
Molecule: long non-coding RNA, 2150 nt
Organism: Papio anubis (olive baboon)
Lineage: Eukaryota; Metazoa; Chordata; Mammalia; Primates; Cercopithecidae
Source: Ensembl